Chinchilla lanigera (long-tailed chinchilla) is the source of this 1091-nucleotide long non-coding RNA. RefSeq lists it as uncharacterized. The transcript has 3 exons. Lineage: Eukaryota; Metazoa; Chordata; Mammalia; Rodentia; Chinchillidae. The record is from RefSeq and is a predicted model, not a curated record.
UCCGGGGAUUUCCUCUGGCCUUACAGAAAAUGAUGCAGAGAAGCCUCUGUUCCCCGGAACAGGAGGCCAGAGGCCACCUGGGUGGUGGCUGUGGGGUCAGGAUUCUCACUUGUGGUCAUCGUCGGAGAUGUCGGCUGGGAGCCUGGGGUGGGGGUGAUUCACUGGAUGCCUGGACGCAGGCCUGAGGGCGGCUUGGAGCUGGUGCUCUAAAGCUGAGUCCGUGAGACUUCACUCGCAUUCUCUCCCUUCCGAAGACAAAACUGGAAAGAAGGCGCAGUGAUCCAUGGAAUCUCUAAGAAACAAAGCUGCUCCAUGGAAGUAAGCUACACGCAAAUCCUAGUCAUGGCGACAUUCACAACGGCAAAAAAUUGGGAACAGCUACCUUGUUCCUGAGGGAGAGACCGGCCAAGGGCUGGAGUAUGUCCGGUGCGCGGUAGGAUGAAAUGCAGCGCAGACAUUGCCGUAGGGUGGCGGCUCGUCUAUGUGAGUUGGCGCGGAGAUGCCCAGCAUAUCUCAGUGGACAAGAUGAGCCACAGAAGCCCUGCAGCGUGAGCCCGCCCCUGUGUGUGACACUUGGAGAACCAAUGAUUCCGCCUUUGGAGCAGUGUGAGCUCUGCAGUCAGCCUAGCUGCGCUCUGCGCCCUACAGUUUUGGGACUGUGGAACUAGGAAUUGAACUCAGGACACCACGCUUGCUAGCCAAGAGCCAAGCCACUGAGCCAUUCCCACAGCCCUCUCAAAUUCCCUGUCUUCAUUAGCAUCAGGAUUGGCUCUGACGAUGAGGCUCCAGGCAGGAGGUCCCAGCACUAAGAAGCCAAAGCCUCAACCUCUGUUUUCCUGGGGUCAGGGUUCCAACUUCACCACCGCUCAUCGCAGCGUUUCACCUCUGCAUCCAGCACUGAGAAACUUCCCCAACAAACCAGAGAGUCCGCCAUCUUCAUUGUUUCCCUAAUGAAAAGGGAUCUUUUUCAGAGGCAAUAUUCUUGUUGUGAGAAAUUACUUACCUAAAACUCUGCAAUAUUUUCAUUUAUCUUUCUGUUAAUUCCUGAAAAAUUAAACUACCUUAUCAAAAAAAUUAAAGUCUUACCUUAA